UACGUAGGGGGGCGAGCGUUGUCCGGAUUUAUUGGGCGUAAAGAGCUCGUAGGCGGUCUGUCGCGUCAGGAGUGAAAACUCGGGGCUUAACCCCGAGCCUGCUUCUGAUACGGGCAGACUAGAGGUAUGCAGGGGAGAACGGAAUUCCUGGUGUAGCGGUGAAAUGCGCAGAUAUCAGGAGGAACACCGGUGGCGAAGGCGGGUCUCUGGGCAGUUACCUGACGCUGAGGAGCGAAAGCGUGGGGAGCGAACAGG
RNAcentral lists this ribosomal RNA (255 nucleotides) under uncultured bacterium. RNAcentral describes it as "partial 16S ribosomal RNA". It matches the Rfam family "Bacterial small subunit ribosomal RNA", at positions 524 to 776 of the family's 1533-position model. The record is from RNAcentral.